RNAcentral lists this unclassified non-coding RNA (444 nucleotides) under uncultured Russula. RNAcentral describes it as "sequence contains ITS2". The stretch from base 1 to 154 matches the Rfam family "5.8S ribosomal RNA". Lineage: Eukaryota; Fungi; Basidiomycota; Agaricomycetes; Russulales; Russulaceae. The record is from RNAcentral.
AACUUUUGACAAUGGAUCACUUGGCUCUCGCAUCGAUGAAGAACGCAGCGAAAUGCGAUACGCAAUGUGAAUUGCAGAAUUCAGUGAAUCAUCGAAUCUUUGAACGCACCUUGCGCCCCUUGGCAUUCCGAGGGGCACACCCGUUUGAGUGUCGUGAAAUUCUCAAACCUUCUUGGUUUCUUGAUCAAGAUGGCUUUGGACUUUGGAGGCAUUUUGCUGGCUUUCCGAAAAGCCAGCUCCUCUUAAAUACAUUAGUGGGAUCCCCUUUGCCGAUCCCCAGGCGUGAUAAGGUAUUUCUACGUCUUGGGAUUUGCUCUGUUCCUUGGGAACCCGCUUCCAACCGUCUCAUGGGAGACAUCGUUCGAGUUUGCUCGACCCACGAACCUUGACCUCAAAUCGGGUGAGACUACCCGCUGAACUUAAGCAUAUCAAUAAGCGGAGGCU